RNAcentral lists this ribosomal RNA (1343 nucleotides) under uncultured bacterium. Its description in RNAcentral is "16S ribosomal RNA". It matches the Rfam family "Bacterial small subunit ribosomal RNA", at positions 28 to 1378 of the family's 1533-position model. The record is from RNAcentral.
GACGAACGCUGGCUGCGUGCUUAACACAUGCAAGUCGAACGGAAAGGCCCUGCUUUUGUGGGGUGCUCGAGUGGCGAACGGGUGAGUAACACGUGAGUAACCUGCCCUUGACUUUGGGAUAACUUCAGGAAACUGGGGCUAAUACCGGAUAGGAGCUCCUGCUGCAUGGUGGGGGUUGGAAAGUUUCGGCGGUUGGGGAUGGACUCGCGGCUUAUCAGCUUGUUGGUGGGGUAGUGGCUUACCAAGGCUUUGACGGGUAGCCGGCCUGAGAGGGUGACCGGCCACAUUGGGACUGAGAUACGGCCCAGACUCCUACGGGAGGCAGCAGUGGGGAAUAUUGCACAAUGGGCGGAAGCCUGAUGCAGCAACGCCGCGUGCGGGAUGACGGCCUUCGGGUUGUAAACCGCUUUCGCCUGUGACGAAGCGUGAGUGACGGUAAUGGGUAAAGAAGCACCGGCUAACUACGUGCCAGCAGCCGCGGUGAUACGUAGGGUGCGAGCGUUGUCCGGAUUUAUUGGGCGUAAAGGGCUCGUAGGUGGUUGAUCGCGUCGGAAGUGUAAUCUUGGGGCUUAACCCUGAGCGUGCUUUCGAUACGGGCUGACUUGAGGAAGGUAGGGGAGAAUGGAAUUCCUGGUGGAGCGGUGGAAUGCGCAGAUAUCAGGAGGAACACCAGUGGCGAAGGCGGUUCUCUGGGCCUUUCCUGACGCUGAGGAGCGAAAGCGUGGGGAGCGAACAGGCCUAGAUACCCUGGUAGUCCACGCUGUAAACGGUGGGUACUAGGUGUGGGGUCCAUUCCACGGGUUCCGUGCCGUAGCUAACGCUUUAAGUACCCCGCCUGGGGAGUACGGCCGCAAGGCUAAAACUCAAAGGAAUUGACGGGGCCCCGCACAAGCGGCGGAGCAUGCGGAUUAAUUCGAUGCAACGCGUAGAACCUUACCUGGGUUUGACAUGGAUCGGGAGUGCUCAGAGAUGGGUGUGCCUCUUUUGGGGUCGGUUCACAGGUGGUGCAUGGCUGUCGUCAGCUCGUGUCGUGAGAUGUUGGGUUAAGUCCCGCAACGAGCGCAACCCUUGUUCACUGUUGCCAGCACGUUAUGGUGGGGACUCAGUGGAGACCGCCGGGGUCAACUCGGAGGAAGGUGGGGAUGACGUCAAGUCAUCAUGCCCCUUAUGUCCAGGGCUUCACGCAUGCUACAAUGGCUGGUACAGAGAGUGGCGAGCCUGUGAGGGUGAGCGAAUCUCGGAAAGCCGGUCUCAGUUCGGAUUGGGGUCUGCAACUCGACCUCAUGAAGUCGGAGUCGCUAGUAAUCGCAGAUCAGCAACGCUGCGGUGAAUACGUUCCCGGG